Molecule: transfer-messenger RNA, 371 nt
Filed under: Bacteroidota bacterium
Lineage: Bacteria; Pseudomonadati; Bacteroidota
Description: Bacteroidetes bacterium (wastewater metagenome) transfer-messenger RNA
Rfam family: transfer-messenger RNA
About the family: Bacterial tmRNA, also known as 10Sa RNA or SsrA, is named for its dual tRNA and mRNA-like properties. Its role is to liberate the mRNA from a stalled ribosome.
Source: RNAcentral
GGGGGUGAUUCGGCUUCGACGGGGAUGAGGAUGCAUAGAAUUGCAUACCGUGGUCACCGUGUUCCACGUUAACAAAGCGGUAAAAUAAUAAGUGCCAAUUACGAUUACGCACUGGCUGCCUAAUUAAAAUAGGCAACCCGUCGCUUACAGGUUCGCUCAUCGACUUGUAAGACGACGUCGCUUAGAUGAGCUAGUCUUUGGAUAUUCUCAGGAUCCGAGGAUGAACACACCUAAAGUGUGAUACUGAGAUGGUGCAAGGUCAAUCCUGUCCACCGGAGUUUCCUUGCACGAGAAUUAAAGGUGGACUAUGUAUGUAGAAGUUCUAUGGGUCUUCUCUUCGGACCGGGGUUCGAAUCCCCGCACCUCCACGA